CUCGAUAAAGUGACCGCACAUGCGCGCUGUGGGCCUGGCCUGGCCCCUGUCCCGGGAUAGAAAGGGUGAAUCGCACCGCGGGGGUGCGGCUGCGUUGAGAUUGCUUCCGGAAUGAGGUACUGAGCUUGCGUGUCGCUCUUUCUGCCCCCUCCACUGUUUCUCUCUUUAGCCACAGUUGAGGCUCAGGACAGCAGGUGUUAUAUAUAUUCAUUCCCACAGUGCUGACUUCCCUGCCCUAGGCUGUCUUGCUAAGGUGCAGAAAUAAAAGGGACUUUGCUGUCCCUCCCUACCCAAUGGCCUUCUAGUGCUGGAAUCUUGGUGAAGGUUGCAGAGUGAGCUCAUGAAUUCCAAUGUCUCAGAAUCUUGCAGAUGUAGCUGGGAAAUGUCUUCAUGUCCAGGGACCUCAAGGGAUCAUAAUAGUUAAAGCUAUUAUGCUGAGGCAUGUGAAAAUGCACAUGCUAAGUUAGAGCGGUUAAAGGCUGUGCCUAGUUUUCACAUUCAUACAUAGUUGUACCUGUUUGAAGCCAGAAGUCCCCUCCCCUGCCUUAGGCUAGGACACAGGAUCAGAUCGGGACACUCCCCUUUUCUCCCAGGGCACUGGGCAGAUGUUAAGUAUCAUUAAUGCACUGGUAAAAAUCAGUAAUACGUGUUAACAAUAACUCCUUCAGGUUCUUGCUGGAGGCACACCUUCUCUUGUUCGUGCUCCUGGGAAUAAGCAAAGUCCUAGAUGUCUCUUGCUGCCCUGGCUGCCUUACCCAAAAGCACGGUGCCUUUAUCUCAUUACUCUCAUUUUGAACUCUCUCCAAAUGCCUUGAGGAGACUGCACUAACAUUGUAGCAACCAUUUUCACCGAAGCCAGAGCGGAAGCACCUCCCGUUUGUGACCCAGCAGAAGCUAUGGCUGGGGGCCUUUAUUUGCAUACGAGGCUUGCUGUGUUGUACAAACACCCCUCUUACAUAUAAACGUGUCGUUCAGUGCUCUUGGUGAUUUAUCUGGGAGAUAUACUCAUGUGCCGUGCCCGCUCGUUUUUGAAAUAUUAGGCUCAGCAAAAGGCUUCUCCUUGAGCGGUGCUUUAUUUUUUAUAAACAAUUUUUUAUUAGAUAUUUUCUUCAUUUACAUUUCAAAUGCUAUCGCCAAAGUCCACUAUGCCCUCCCCCAGCCCUGCGCCCCAACCCACCCACUCCUGCUUCCUGGCCCUGGCAUUCCCCUGUACUGGGGCAUAUGAGCUUCUCAAGAACAAGGGCCUCUACUCCCAUUGAUGGCCGACUAGGCUGUCCUCUGCUAUAUAUGCAGCUAGAGACACAGCUCUGGGGGGAGGGGUACUGGUUAGUUCAGAUUGUUGAUCCUCCUAUAGGGUUGCAGACCCCUUUAGCUCCUUGGGUACUUUCUCUAGCUCCUUUUGGGGGCUCUGUGUUCCAUCCAAUAGAUGACUGUGAGCAUCCACUUCUGUAUUUGCCAGGCACUUGCAUAGCUUCACAAGAGAGAGCUAUAUCAGGGUCCUGUCAGCAAAAUCUUUCUGGCAUAUGCAAUAGUGUCUGGGUUUGGAGGCUGAUUAUGGGAUGGAUCCCUGGGUGGGCAGUCUCUGGAUGGUCCAUCCUUUUGUCUCAGCUCUAAACUUUGUCUCUGUAACUCCUUCCAUAGGUAUUUUGUUCCCCCUUCUAAGAAGGAACAAAAUAUCCACACUUUGGUCUUCCUUCUUCUUGAGUUUCAUGUGUUUUGCAAAUUGGAUCUUGGGUAUCCUAAGUUUCUGGCCUAAUAUCCACUUAUCAGUGAGUGCAUAUCAUGUGGGUUCUUUUGUGAUUGGGUUACCUCACUAAGGAUGAUAUCCUCCAGAUGCAUCCAUUUGCCUAAGAUUUCAUGAAUUCAUUGUUUUUUAAUUGCUGAGUAGUACUCCAUUGUGUAAAUGUACCACAUUUUCUGUAUCCAUUCCUCUGUUGAGGGACAUCUGGAUUCUUUCCAGCUUAUGGCUAUUAUAAAUAAGGCUGCUGUGAACAUAGUGGAGGAUGUGUCCUUAUUACAAGUUGGAA
Molecule: long non-coding RNA, 2027 nt
Filed under: Mus musculus (house mouse)
Lineage: Eukaryota; Metazoa; Chordata; Mammalia; Rodentia; Muridae
Description: long non-coding RNA chr1:21166435-21168462
Source: RNAcentral